AUUGAACGCUGGCGGCAUGCCUUACACAUGCAAGUCGAACGGCAGCACGGGUGCUUGCACCUGGUGGCGAGUGGCGAACGGGUGAGUAAUACAUCGGAACAUGUCCUGUAGUGGGGGAUAGCCCGGCGAAAGCCGGAUUAAUACCGCAUACGAUCUACGGAUGAAAGCGGGGGACCUUCGGGCCUCGCGCUAUAGGGUUGGCCGAUGGCUGAUUAGCUAGUUGGUGGGGUAAAGGCCUACCAAGGCGACGAUCAGUAGCUGGCCUGAGAGGACGACCAGCCACACUGGGACUGAGACACGGCCCAGACUCCUACGGGAGGCAGCAGUGGGGAAUUUUGGACAAUGGGCGAAAGCCUGAUCCAGCAAUGCCGCGUGUGUGAAGAAGGCCUUCGGGUUGUAAAGCACUUUUGUCCGGAAAGAAAUCCUUGGCCCUAAUACGGUCGGGGGAUGACGGUACCGGAAGAAUAAGCACCGGCUAACUACGUG
Molecule: ribosomal RNA, 486 nt
Filed under: uncultured bacterium
Lineage: Bacteria
Description: partial 16S ribosomal RNA
Rfam family: Bacterial small subunit ribosomal RNA
Source: RNAcentral